RNAcentral lists this ribosomal RNA (950 nucleotides) under Bacillus altitudinis. RNAcentral describes it as "bacterial SSU rRNA". It matches the Rfam family "Bacterial small subunit ribosomal RNA", at positions 33 to 986 of the family's 1533-position model. The record is from RNAcentral. Lineage: Bacteria; Bacillati; Bacillota; Bacilli; Caryophanales; Bacillaceae.
GUGUAUGUGAAAGCGCUAUAAUGCAGUCGAGCGGACAGAAGGGAGCUUGCUCCCGGAUGUUAGCGGCGGACGGGUGAGUAACACGUGGGUAACCUGCCUGUAAGACUGGGAUAACUCCGGGAAACCGGAGCUAAUACCGGAUAGUUCCUUGAACCGCAUGGUUCAAGGAUGAAAGACGGUUUCGGCUGUCACUUACAGAUGGACCCGCGGCGCAUUAGCUAGUUGGUGAGGUAACGGCUCACCAAGGCGACGAUGCGUAGCCGACCUGAGAGGGUGAUCGGCCACACUGGGACUGAGACACGGCCCAGACUCCUACGGGAGGCAGCAGUAGGGAAUCUUCCGCAAUGGACGAAAGUCUGACGGAGCAACGCCGCGUGAGUGAUGAAGGUUUUCGGAUCGUAAAGCUCUGUUGUUAGGGAAGAACAAGUGCAAGAGUAACUGCUUGCACCUUGACGGUACCUAACCAGAAAGCCACGGCUAACUACGUGCCAGCAGCCGCGGUAAUACGUAGGUGGCAAGCGUUGUCCGGAAUUAUUGGGCGUAAAGGGCUCGCACGCGGUUUCUUAAGUCUGAUGUGAAAGCCCCCGGCUCAACCGGGGAGGGUCAUUGGAAACUGGGAAACUUGAGUGCAGAAGAGGAGAGUGGAAUUCCACGUGUAGCGGUGAAAUGCGUAGAGAUGUGGAGGAACACCAGUGGCGAAGCGACUCUCUGGUCUGUAACUGACGCUGAGAGCGAAAGCGUGGGGAGCGAACAGGAUUAGAUACCCUGGUAGUCCACGCCGUAACGAUGAGUGCUAAGUGUUAGGGGGUUUCCGCCCCUUACUGCUGCAGCUAACGCAUUAAGCACUCCGCCUGGGGAGUACGGUCGCAGACUGAACUCAACCAUUGACGGGGCCGCCCAAGCGUGAGCAUGUGGUUAUUCGAGCACCGCGAGACUUACCAGUCUUGACA